UACGUAGGGGGCGAGCGUUGUCCGGAUUCAUUGGGCGUAAAGAGCUCGUAGGCGGCUUGGUAAGUCGGGUGUGAAACCUCCAGGCUCAACCUGGAGACGCCACUCGAGACUGCCCUGGCUGGAGUCCGGUAGGGGACCACGGAAUUCCUGGUGUAGCGGUGAAAUGCGCAGAUAUCAGGAGGAACACCAGUGGCGAAGGCGGUGGUCUGGGCCGGUACUGACGCUGAGGAGCGAAAGCGUGGGGAGCGAACAGGAUUAGAUACCCUGGUAGUCCACGCCGUAAACGUUGGGCACUAGGUGUGGGACCUUAUCAACGGGUUCCGUGCCGCAGCUAACGCAUUAAGUGCCCCGCCUGGGGAGUACGGCCGCAAGGCUAAAACU
RNAcentral lists this ribosomal RNA (381 nucleotides) under uncultured bacterium. RNAcentral's name for it is "bacterial SSU rRNA". It matches the Rfam family "Bacterial small subunit ribosomal RNA", at positions 524 to 901 of the family's 1533-position model. The record is from RNAcentral.